Molecule: long non-coding RNA, 106 nt
Organism: Sander lucioperca (pikeperch)
Lineage: Eukaryota; Metazoa; Chordata; Actinopteri; Perciformes; Percidae
Exons: 3
Source: RefSeq, a predicted model, not a curated record
AGCUAAACUAACAGGCUUACUUUUUCAGCAGCAACCUUGCAAUUAUGUGCAUUCAAACUACCACACAUGUGUACCACCGGGAUACAUUGGUACAGAUCGGAGAAUA